GUUUCCCUCUGGGAGGAAGAUGGAGGAGAGGUUUCCCUCUGGGAGGAAGAUGGAGGAGAGGUUUCCCUCUGGGAGGAAGAUGGAGGAGAGGUUUCCCUCUGGGAGGAAGAUGGAGGAGAGGUUUCCCUCUGGGAGGAAGAUGGAGGAGAGGUUUCCCUCUGGGAGGAAGAUGGAGGAGAGGUUUCCCUCUGGGAGGAAGAUGGAGGAGAGGUUUCCCUCUGGGAGGAAGAUGGAGGAGAGGUUUCCCUCGGGGGGGAAGAUGGAGGAGAGGUUUCCCUCGGGGGGGAAGAUGGAGGAGAAGUUUCCCUCUUCCCUCGGGGGGGAAGAUGGAGGAGAAGUUUCCCUCGGGGGGAAGAUGGAGGCAGAGAAUACAGGUGAAACAGAGGUAGACCUCAGAAGGUAGGCUACAGCGAAAGAUAGAUGACCCCCUCAGUACCAGAUGUG
Oncorhynchus keta (chum salmon) is the source of this 444-nucleotide long non-coding RNA. RefSeq lists it as uncharacterized. The transcript is spliced from 3 exons. NCBI's taxonomy places the organism in Eukaryota, Metazoa, Chordata, Actinopteri, Salmoniformes, Salmonidae. The record is from RefSeq and is a predicted model, not a curated record.